AGAUUGUCUAAUCCACUUCCAAAUGAAUUGAAGAAACUUAGCGUACUUGCAAUAAUUGUGCAUCCAUACACUUUAGCUAGCUAAAUUAAAAUUAAGAUACAAUUGGGCAGCUUUUACACAAGUACAUCUAAUGCUACAUGGUUUAGUCCCUAUUAUGACAACAAUCUCUUUAUGCUUAGCUCUUAUUUCAAACUAAUAUAUUCAUGUCAAACAUGACUUCACCUCAGCUUUUUUCUCCAACAUCUUAAGUCGCAGAGAGGUAAGAGAACAUGGCAUGAUCCAGUGAAAAUGCUUCUGCAUCUUUCUUUGGUCCCUAUACCUAACAUGCAGUUGUUGUGAAUCUUGUGAUAAUAACAUCAAAGUACUAAGUACAAAAUUAGGAUCAAAAGUAGUCAAUAAUCUCAUGCAACAUGCUAGUUUCUAACAUAUCCAUUCAAAGACUUCACGACCAUGAGAUUAGCAUUUGUUUAUGCUAGCACAUGAAUUCAUAGUCAAUAGCCAAUAAUCAAAUAUAGUGCCAAAUUUUCUGAGACUUUUUUAUGCUGAAUAAUGUGACAUCCAUAGAGAUUCAAAGUGAUAACCCACAGAACUUAAUAUCUCAAUCUACAGCUGAUCACUACAAGUUGCAACCAAGUCUUUGAAAAUUAACGAAAUAUUUCCUAUCAAACCAAAAUUCCAUUUUCGAUUUUGGUCAGCUGGUUUCACUGCAAAGUUUGGUAUCCCAAAUCUUACAAAAUCAACAGAUUACAUCUAUAAGGCCAUCAUUGAAUGCUUCCACCGAAUCAUGUUCCAGGGCUGUGAUGUUGUAGACUAUGCCUUGCCAUUUUAAACACAUUUGGACGAAGUAGCAGCUCUCUCAGAAUUCAACCCUGUGCACUUGCCUUCAACAGUUUAUACACCAUUGGAGCAUCCUAAUCAUACAAAACCUAUACAAUGCAACAUGAUUAACACAUAUACAAACAUAGAAUUUAAUUGAUAUCAUUAGCUCAAUUACUUCAUUAAGCAUGAGGGGUCGAGCAUUUUUCCCCAUCUCAACAUGCUGAAUAUUGUUUUAUUAAUUCAUUUUCCCCCCUUCCUCCUCUGAAAGGACAGAUCCCCAACAGAAAAGCGUUUACAAAACUAUCACAUACCCAGAAUUAGAAUGAAUUUACUCAACAUUUUAUAUCAGAUUGCUUUAAUAAUAAUCAGAUUACCGAGCCCAAGAGUAUUAAUUCAAAACAGAUACCAUUAUCAAGCAAAAUUUGAAAUUCAAGAAUUGCAUUUUUCAUUACAUAUAGAUCUCUGAAUCAGUUUCUUCACUAGUACUCUUUCAUAUUCACUCUUUUGCCAAAUUGUUGAACCAUGAAGCUUAUGUGGGUCACUCUUGGGGAUUAUUAUUUUCAUUAUCGCUUUGAUCCAAUGUCCCAAACUUCUGCUUGAAGGAGUCCUG
RNAcentral lists this unclassified non-coding RNA (1429 nucleotides) under Hevea brasiliensis (rubber tree). Lineage: Eukaryota; Viridiplantae; Streptophyta; Magnoliopsida; Malpighiales; Euphorbiaceae. The record is from RNAcentral.